ACGAACGCUGGCGGCGCGCCUAACACCUGCAAGUCGAACGAGCGAGAGGAGGUUUACUUUCUCACGCGAGUGGCGAACGGGUGAGUAACGCGUGAGGAACCUGCCUCAAAGAGGGGGACAACAGUUGGAAACGACUGCUAAUACCGCAUAAGCCCACGACCCGGCAUCGGGUAGAGGGAAAAGGAGCAAUCCGCUUUGAGAUGGCCUCGCGUCCGAUUAGCUAGUUGGUGAGGUAAUGGCCCACCAAGGCGACGAUCGGUAGCCGGACUGAGAGGUUGAACGGCCACAUUGGGACUGAGACACGGCCCAGACUCCUACGGGAGGCAGCAGUGGGGAAUAUUGCACAAUGGGGGAAACCCUGAUGCAGCGACGCCGCGUGGAGGAAGAAGGUCUUCGGAUUGUAAACUCCUGUUGUUGAGGAAGAUAAUGACGGUACUCAACAAGGAAGUGACGGCUAACUACGUG
Molecule: ribosomal RNA, 465 nt
Filed under: uncultured bacterium
Lineage: Bacteria
Description: partial 16S ribosomal RNA
Rfam family: Bacterial small subunit ribosomal RNA
Source: RNAcentral